RNAcentral lists this ribosomal RNA (495 nucleotides) under uncultured bacterium. Its description in RNAcentral is "partial 16S ribosomal RNA". It matches the Rfam family "Bacterial small subunit ribosomal RNA", at positions 28 to 507 of the family's 1533-position model. The record is from RNAcentral.
GACGAACGCUGGCGGCGUGCCUAAUACAUGCAAGUAGAACGCUGAAGGAGGAGCUUGCUCUUCUGGAUGAGUUGCGAACGGGUGAGUAACGCGUAGGUAACCUGCCUGGUAGCGGGGGAUAACUAUUGGAAACGAUAGCUAAUACCGCAUAACAGUAGAUGUUGCAUGACAUUUACUUAAAAGGUGCAAUUGCAUCACUACCAGAUGGACCUGCGUUGUAUUAGCUAGUUGGUGGGGUAACGGCUCACCAAGGCGACGAUACAUAGCCGACCUGAGAGGGGGAUCGGCCACACUGGGACUGAGACACGGCCCAGACUCCUACGGGAGGCAGCAGUAGGGAAUCUUCGGCAAUGGACGGAAGUCUGACCGAGCAACGCCGCGUGAGUGAAGAAGGGUUUCGGAUCGUAAAGCCCUGUUGUAAGAGAAGAACGAGUGUGAGAGUGGAAAGUUCACACUGUGACGGUAUCUUACCAGAAAGGGACGGCUAACUACGUG